Panicum virgatum (switchgrass) is the source of this 2480-nucleotide RNA transcript. It is a transcript of the gene named protein ROOT HAIR DEFECTIVE 3-like, with no coding region annotated. The record is from RefSeq and is a predicted model, not a curated record. The transcript has 8 exons. Lineage: Eukaryota; Viridiplantae; Streptophyta; Magnoliopsida; Poales; Poaceae.
CUCCCCCGUCUCGUUCUUUUUUUCUGCCUUCGUUUCAUAUCGUGGCGCCGCCCCUGCGAGGCCACGAUCCCGUCCCUCCCCCGCUUCCCUGUGAGGCCACGGGCACCGGCGCCCCCGCCGGACAUUGCGCCGUCGAGCCCGAUCCCUACCCCGCCCCUUCCCCACGAGCGCCGGCGACCCUGUCCCUACCCCGCCCCUUCCCCACGAGCACCGGCAACCCUACAAUCAUGGCGCCCCUGCCUACACCGAUCUGUGGUCGCUCUGCCCGCCGGCGUUCUCGCCGACGCCGUCGCGCCCGACCCGUGCAACCACGCUACUGCCCGCGACUGCGCGGCCUCCACCGAUCCGUGGCCUCCUCCCGCGAUCGGCAGGGCCUUCACCAUCACCAUUACCGUCGCCGUCGCGUUCGUCGCCAUGGACGGUGCGACGCCCCACUGCAGCAUUCCAGGGCAAGAACUCAUCAAUUCCCGUAGCCCAGGUGUAGUGAGGCAAAAAAAAAAGGAAACAAAGUUUAGCAGGAGCUAGAGAAUGGCAACUUGAAUGCUUGAGCAGUGAGAGAUCCUUCCGGUUUUCCCUCACCAUCCAAGUUUAACCUGUUGAUCUACACACACAGGGCUUGCUACAACGUGUGGAAGUAGAUGGAUCCUCUGAACAAUACUAAAGGUAGUAUUCUUGGUUUCACUUCUCACCGUAAACGGGUAUUGUCGUUACAACCUUUUAUUGCCAGAGCAUCCUUAUGUUUGUGUUGGUCUAGAGUUGAUGAAUUGCUGAUUUGGAGCAGUCCAGUUGAUGCUGGCUUCCCAGGUCAUAUAAUCACUUGACUAAUAGAAAAUGGCACAGAUAGGACUAUGGACUUUAUAUCUUUGAAAGUUUAAAUACUGUCACUUUUUUUAUCCUUGCCAACAGAUCAUGCUUCUGGUUGCCGACCCCUUCGAGAAGAUCGACAAGAUCAGAAAUGGGAGAUGUGUGUUUCUCUACACAGCUCAUUGAAGGUGAUGGGAUCUUCAAUGUCUCUGAAUUGGAGAACUUCAUGAAGGAAGCUAGAUUGGGUGAAUGCAGGCUCUCCUAUGCUGUUAUGUCAAUAAUGGACCCGCAAAGUAGUGGGAAAAGUACACUUCUUAAUCAUCUUUUUGGCACCAAUUUUAGGGAGACAGCUGCUUUCAAAAGGAAGCUCACAGACUACCAAAGGUAUAUGGUUGGCAAAGGCUGAAAACAUUGAACUGAAAACAUUGAACCAUGCACCCUUGUAAUAGACUUGCAAGGACCUGAUGGAAGAGAGAGGGGAGAGGUAAUAUAAAUGAGCAUAUCUCCAAAUUAGAAGUGGUUUGAAUGUGUUUCUACUAGGUCGCAGAAACCAAACCAUACACUUGUUAUUGGUGCAGCAGGAUGAGAGCCUGGGGAUUGGGUUGAAUGCAAUGGCGAAAAACAUCAAAGGGGAACUUGACUAGCGUGCAACGCCAGAGGAGGUGAUGAAGUGCUGCUUUGCUUAUUUCUCUAUUGUUUUAAUUGAUGAAAAAAGUUGUUGAAGCCUUAUGAAAUCCCUGCUCUGCUCUGAAUGAUGCAAAACAUUAUAGCUUCCAAUAAAAUUGAUUAUUUUUAUAUUUUAAAUGUCUUAUGGUCCUGCACACUAGCUACCUAUUUGUUGAAAUCUUGCUAUGAGUACUGCGUUGUGCAAGCGUGGUGAGUUGGCACUGCGACAGCCAACAAUUGGUAUCACUUAAUUAGUGCCUCCUUUCAUAAUCAUUCUUGAAUAAGUACCUCCUGCCCUCCUUUCAUACUCUAAUGUGACCUUCCUGCUACACAAAUCAUAUUGGAUGAGUUGCAGGCUUACAUUCUUGAAAAAAGCCAUAGCUGACAACGAUCAUUGACUCCAUGAGCAGCCGCCUAGGGAAUUUUUACUGGUUUAUCUGGUGCCAUGUCUCGAAGUGUAUUUACCAUUUCGUAGGUGUGAAUUGUUCCUUGGUGGUCCUCAACAUUGGUGUUAAUCUAAGCACCUUGGUCUGUAGAAGAAGACACAAAAUAAGUUGUUUCAUUUAUUAUGUUAAUUAAGAAAUUGCUCUAACUAUCGCAAAGAAUUUGGUCCUUACUGUAAAAGGUCAACCGAUCGGGUUUGAAAGGAUUAAAGGGUGUAUAAAAGGAACCUGCAAAAAAAGGUUGAGAUAAAGAAUUUACAAUUGCAAAGUUCUCAUUUUUAUAUGCCAAAUCCUCUACUACCUGAAAGGACCUCAUCGUCAACCUCUAUGGAUUUCAGCCGCCCUCUGCCUUUGGCACUACGGAUGAGUGUCCAAAAGGCGUAUGGUACAAUAUGGAACAGGCGUAUGGUACAAUAAUAUGGAACAGGCGUAUGGUACAAUAAUUUACAUGUUUAUGCUUUGAGCACAUGAAAUGUAAAAUUUUAAUAAAGUGUUAAAAACAUAGUUUCAUGUUGUAACAAAUGGAUCAAUGUAAAUUUGAAUGAAGUGGUUUUGGUUAAGCUGAUA